RNAcentral lists this long non-coding RNA (760 nucleotides) under Fragaria vesca (wild strawberry). RNAcentral's name for it is "long non-coding RNA (FVES_LNC000001)". The record is from RNAcentral. Lineage: Eukaryota; Viridiplantae; Streptophyta; Magnoliopsida; Rosales; Rosaceae.
GCUAAAGUCACCACAGACGAGCUUUUCCCGACGAAAUCUUAGCCGACGAAAGGUCGUCGGCUAAGAUCUUAGCCGACGAAUUAAGCUGACAGGCCGACGAAAAAUUUUCGUCGGCUAAAGUGCUUGUCCUGGUAGUGACGUUGUUCUUAAGCCGUAGACGCCUCCCCACGUGUGGGUUAUGAUGGUCGUCUACAAACUCCAAGAUACAACCCGUGUAGUCACAUAUAAUGUCUAAUCCGCUUUGCACGACAAAUGGUACACGGGGUGUCAAAUGUUUAUUGAAUUGCCCAAACGAUAAGAAAUAAGAAUAGAAUGAAGAAGAUGAAGAUGAAGAGUAUGAGAGCAAUAUAUAAUACCAUUACUCUUUGACUUAAGAGUAGAGUAUUUAUAGAACUCAUCAUAACGUACCCUUAUAAAGACAAAACUCUUCAAUUUGAAUAAAUAAUAUUUAAAAUGAAAAUAUGAGUUUUGAAUCUUAUUUUUAAUUUAAAAACCAACAAUCCCCUACAAGAUUCAAAACUUCAUAGACUCAAAAAAUUUGGAAAGAUUAAGAUAAGAAUAUUUGGGCAACUUUAAUACCAUGUAAUAGGUAUAGGUGUUUUCCGGACUUGAACCUACACUUGGUGUAAACAACUUUCAUUCGAAGGAAUCAUAGUAAACUAUGUCUUGAACUAGACGCUUUUUAGCCGAAUUACUAAUUGUCACGCACACGAUACCGAUACGAAAACUUUGACGUGGGUAGUGUUAUUUAUAGCCUUGC